GGGGAUGCAGCUCAGUGGUGGAGUGCUUGCCUACCAUGUAGGAGACAUUGGGUUCAGCACCCAGCACUGCCA
This 72-nucleotide transfer RNA is filed under the name Marmota marmota marmota (Alpine marmot). It matches the Rfam family "tRNA". From Rfam's summary of the family: Transfer RNA (tRNA) molecules are approximately 80 nucleotides in length. Their secondary structure includes four short double-helical elements and three loops (D, anti-codon, and T loops). Lineage: Eukaryota; Metazoa; Chordata; Mammalia; Rodentia; Sciuridae. The record is from Rfam by way of RNAcentral. RNAcentral also lists the same sequence under 1 other name.